CUUUGGGCUUCUCUGCCUGCAUGCUCAGGGAGGAGUCUAGGCACGCUUGUACCCGAGAGGAGUUCGAGAACGUGGUCGAACUUCUCUCGGCCCUUUUUCGACUGCGAGCUUACUCGAGUCUCCCGCCUGUCGCUCUCUUGCGGUCUCCUCAUCCUUCAUCUUGAAGGCCUCUUCUGCUCGAGCGUGCAAAUCAGCAAAAUCCCUGGGGUACUUCUUUUCCAGGGAGAAUAGAAGGUC
RNAcentral lists this long non-coding RNA (237 nucleotides) under Elaeis guineensis (African oil palm). RNAcentral's name for it is "long non-coding RNA (EGUI_LNC041171)". Lineage: Eukaryota; Viridiplantae; Streptophyta; Magnoliopsida; Arecales; Arecaceae. The record is from RNAcentral.